GAGUGUCAGUGUGCUUCAUGAGCAGAAUCUUCCUUCAGGAGGACAGAGGCCCUCACAACUACCUGGAACUGCUGCUGAGGUGACCAAAGUUGAUCAUGAAGACAGCUGGAGUUGUUCUGCUGUUGCUGUGGUUCGGACAGGUUGUGAUUGCAGCACACAAUCCAGAUGUCAAAACCACAAACACAGGAAAAGACGCUGCCCAACAGUCAGACAUCCACACUGUGUUGAGAGAGAUGAGUAUCCUCAUCGCUCAGCAGGGAGAGCAGCUCAAAUGCACAAAGACAAAACUGGAGGAUGUGGAGAAGAAGGCAGAAGCCAUGGAGAACAGACUGAGAGCCAGUGAGAGUCGUGUCAACCAACUAAAAACUGAAAAUAAGGCUCAAUCAGCGGCUGUAUCAGACCUGAAACGGGAGAGAGCUCGGAGCAGGGUGUCUUUUUCAGCCGCACUGCUUGGGGAGGGUGGAAGAGCUAUAUCAGGGGUUGAGACAUUGGUGUUUCAACUUACGAUCACUAACAUUGGCAACGGCUACAAUCACAAAGAUGGUAAGACAAAAAUUAGG
Long non-coding RNA from Engraulis encrasicolus (European anchovy), 560 nucleotides. RefSeq lists it as uncharacterized. NCBI's taxonomy places the organism in Eukaryota, Metazoa, Chordata, Actinopteri, Clupeiformes, Engraulidae. The record is from RefSeq and is a predicted model, not a curated record. The transcript is spliced from 3 exons.